RNAcentral lists this long non-coding RNA (1022 nucleotides) under Numida meleagris (helmeted guineafowl). RNAcentral describes it as "lncRNA (ENSNMEG00000021074.1)". Lineage: Eukaryota; Metazoa; Chordata; Aves; Galliformes; Numididae. The record is from RNAcentral.
GUUUUUAGAACACCUUUUAUUGAUUAAGCAGUUAACAGCUUCAAGCUGUAAUUAUUAAUAGCGGGUAUCAGCUCUCACAAUAUAUUUACCUAUUUCUGCAGCCAGACAGACACAUGCACAGUCAUUCACAGCUGCCUGGUUGCAGCUGGGAUCCCAAUACCAGCUGGAUACUUGAAAGCAGAGGAUCAGACCAUCAUCAUGCCAAUGGCUUUGCAAGUCCGUAAAGAGCGAUCACAGACGCUGCCCAACCUUUCCAGCAUGUGAGAAGAGUGGAUCUUUUUUUGCUUCAGUGUAUCAUGCUGAGGAGGAACAGUCAUUCCACAUGUUUUUCCUUCCUCUUGAACACUGAGGUUUUGACUGUACUGGCUGCCAACAGAGCUGAGGCUGAUAUCCAUUACUACAGUCCAAAGAAUUCCAUAGCAAUUAUUCCAUAACAGACCAACUGUACUGAAAGCAAGCUGUAAGGCAACUUGUGAGAAUAGUCACUGAAAGCUAUUCACCAGUCAAAUUACAGGUGCAUUUGCUUGCUCGGUAGUGAUGUGUUUAGUGUGUACUUUAUAUGGUGUUAAUGUCUCUAACACCAUACUUAGAAGUGAAAAUAUUACAGUUAUUGGAAUUUAUUUUGGAUAUUUGAUUGCUAAAGCAAAAAUGGCAGUGCUUUGUGACCAGUGAUGUUUAUUAUAUUGCAUUUGUCUUUUUUGAAUGUUGCUGAAUAAGUCACUGCACUUUUAAUAAGUGACCAGGAUUUUUAUUUGGUGCACAGAAACUGAUUAAUUUAAAUGUAUUCCCAGCUCGCAGUUGGGAACUUGUGAUGGACUUUAAAGCUAAUGUUUUACUAUAACAAAAUGUCUAGGUGUCUUCAACAGCUGUAAUCAAAUAUAUUUUUAAUAUUACCCUUCAGUAACUUGCAUUACCAAUGAAACUAGGUAAACUGUGUCGGUUACCCUAAAGUGCAGGGAUACAAGUUUGCUGAUAUACUGUAAAAGAAUAAAAAUUAAUUUGUAUUUUGAUUAAGAUUGUAA